UUAGGGAUGAGUAAGUAGUAGUAAAGUAGGGUUAGGGAUGAGUAAGUAGUAGUAAA
This 56-nucleotide transfer RNA is filed under the name Gnathostoma sp. MMS-2017. RNAcentral's name for it is "tRNA-Ser". The record is from RNAcentral. Lineage: Eukaryota; Metazoa; Nematoda; Chromadorea; Rhabditida; Gnathostomatidae.